AUUGAACGCUGGCGGCAGGCCUAACACAUGCAAGUCGAGCGAGCGGCGGACGGGGGAGUAAUGUAUGGGGACUGCCCGAUAGAGGGGGAUAACAACUGGAAACGGUAGCUAAUACCGCAUACUAUCGGAUAACCCAUAUGGGAUGAGCUAGUAGGUGAGGUAAUGGCUCACCUAGGCGACGUUCCCUAGCUGGUCUGAGAGGAUGAUCAGCCACGCUGGGCCUGAGACGCGGCCCAGACUCCUACGGAGGCAGCAGUGGGGAAUAUUGCACAAUGGGCUCAAGCCUGAUCCAGCCAUGCCGCGUGUAUGAAGAAGGCCCUAGGGUUGUAGAGUACUUUCAGUCGUGAGGCGUUACCGACAGAAGAAGCACCGGCUAACUCCGUGCCAGCAGCCGCGGUAAUUC
RNAcentral lists this ribosomal RNA (403 nucleotides) under uncultured bacterium. RNAcentral describes it as "partial 16S ribosomal RNA". It matches the Rfam family "Bacterial small subunit ribosomal RNA", at positions 30 to 526 of the family's 1533-position model. The record is from RNAcentral.